UAGGGAAUCUUCGGCAAUGGACGAAAGUCUGACCGAGCAACGCCGCGUGAGUGAAGAAGGUUUUCGGAUCGUAAAACUCUGUUGUUAGAGAAGAACAAGGACGUUAGUAACUGAACGUCCCCUGACGGUAUCUAACCAGAAAGCCACGGCUAACUACGUGCCAGCAGCCGCGGUAAUACGUAGGUGGCAAGCGUUGUCCGGAUUUAUUGGGCGUAAAGCGAGCGCAGGCGGUUUCUUAAGUCUGAUGUGAAAGCCCCCGGCUCAACCGGGGAGGGUCAUUGGAAGCUGGGAGACUUGAGUGCAGAAGAAGAGAGUGGAAUUCCAUGUGUAGCAGUGAAAUGCGUAGAUAUAUGGAGAAACACCAGUGGCGAAGGCGGCUCUCUGGUCUGUGACUGACGCUGAGGCUCGAAAGCGUGGGAAGCAAACAGA
This 429-nucleotide ribosomal RNA is filed under the name Gemmatimonadota bacterium. RNAcentral's name for it is "Gemmatimonadetes bacterium partial 16S ribosomal RNA". It matches the Rfam family "Bacterial small subunit ribosomal RNA", at positions 355 to 776 of the family's 1533-position model. Lineage: Bacteria; Pseudomonadati; Gemmatimonadota. The record is from RNAcentral.